This 1062-nucleotide long non-coding RNA is filed under the name Scophthalmus maximus (turbot). RNAcentral's name for it is "lncRNA (ENSSMAG00000035214.1)". The record is from RNAcentral. Lineage: Eukaryota; Metazoa; Chordata; Actinopteri; Pleuronectiformes; Scophthalmidae.
CUUGGUCACAUCGCUGCAUCGUCCCUCGGCCUCCUCCUGCCCGAGGCUCAGUGCGUUUCAGGCGGAUGCAGCGUGCAGCCCCUGAACCACUGCCAGGUCAUCUCUGAAACCGCUGCCGAAGAAAAUACAUUUCCCUCAGUCUAUCUGCAUGCUCUGCAUCAUGGCUGCACAGGAACCAGCAGUUGUUGUCUGGAUCCACCUGGGAUUUUCUGUGCAGAGCGAAGCCCAAACUGUGUGGAUGAAUCUGGGGUCUGUGGACGAUCACUUCAUGCCCAUACCUCGAGGGAGUUUUUUUCUGUAAAAAGUGUUGUUUUGUUUUUUGCAUCUGUGUCCGGAGUAUCAACAGCUGACAUCGUUCAGGCCUCCAACUCUCAUGCGUGUCAUCUAACCCCAUUAGCAGCCAAUGUCUUUUCAGGAGCAGAGCUGGCAUGGUUCACAGAGGAUGGAAAUUUCAAUCUCCCUUCUAUCAUUUUCCCUAUCAUUACUCCAUUCGCCCGCCAUUUCUCUCCAACCUGAGUCCCGAGAGGGAGUGGAGCGGCUAAAAAGGAGGGCACCGUGGACUCUGUUCCCAACUUUAAUAUGAGAGGAGCAAAAAAGAGAGCGGGGGUGUUUAUACAUUAUUAGGGGUCUAUUACAAAGCAGCUAUCACAUUCUCCCUCUUCUCUCCCUCGCCCUCUCAUUCCCUCACUCUCCUGACAGGUAGCGGGCGGCCUGCCGUGAUGACUAGACUCAAUCACCUGUGACAGUUUUGAUUUGAUGUCACUCUCUGGGUCGCUCUAUUUGUUUGAGCAGUUAAGAGGUAAUUGUGUGACAUUGGCGGGGGAAGACGUGCUUUGGCGGCGCACCCGCUGAACCGAGGGGACAGGACGAGGGAGUGUGGCAAUAAUAAAUGAGGGCUAUUUUCCCUCAGCAUUCCCAGACUGUGUGUGUGUGUGUGGCUGAUGGGGGAACAAGAAGGGGUGAUGAGCCCCUCUACCCUGGGGGAAUUCAGCUGUGAGAUGCACAUUGAGGUCGCAUGCACCCACUAUUAUCAUCACUUUUUUUAGUCUGAACAGAAUUGUU